RNAcentral lists this ribosomal RNA (378 nucleotides) under uncultured bacterium. Its description in RNAcentral is "bacterial SSU rRNA". It matches the Rfam family "Bacterial small subunit ribosomal RNA", at positions 28 to 410 of the family's 1533-position model. The record is from RNAcentral.
GAUGAACGCUAGCGGGAGGCCUAACACAUGCAAGCCGAGCGGUAUUGUUUCUUCGGAAAUGAGAGAGCGGCGUACGGGUGCGGAACACGUGUGCAACCUGCCUUUAUCUGGGGGAUAGCCUUUCGAAAGGAAGAUUAAUACUCCAUAAUAUAUUGAACGGCAUCGUUUAAUAUUGAAAGCUCCGGCGGAUAGAGAUGGGCACGCGCAAGAUUAGCUAGUUGGUGAGGUAACGGCUCACCAAGGCGAUGAUCUUAGCGGGUCUGAGAGGAUGAUCCGCCACACUGGAACUGAGACACGGUCCAGACUCCUACGGAGGCAGCAGUGGGGAAUUUGGACAAUGGGGGCAACCCGUGAUCCAGCCAUGCCGCGUGAGUGAAG